GCCCUACGGGGCGCAGCAGGCGCGAAAACUUUACAAUGCGGGAAACCGUGAUAAGGGAACUCCGAGUGCCCGUAAAAUCGGGCUGUCCAUCUGUUUAAAUAACAGGUGAAGAAAGGGCCGGGCAAGACCGGUGCCAGCCGCCGCGGUAAUACCGGCGGCUCGAGUGGUGGCCACUAUUACUGGGCUUAAAGCGUUCGUAGCUGGUUUGUUAAGUCUCUGGGGAAAUCUGCCGGCUCAACCGGCAGGCGUUCCAGGGAUACUGGCAGACUAGGGACCGGGAGAGGUGAGGGGUACUCCAGGGGUAGGAGUGAAAUCCUGUAAUCCUUGGGGGACCACCUGUGGCGAAGGCGCCUCACCAGAACGGCUCCGACAGUGAGGGACGAAAGCUGGGGGAGCAAACCGGAUUAGAUACCCGGGUAGUCCCAGCCGUAAACGAUGCGCGUUAGGUGUAUCGGUGACCACGAGUCACCGAGGUGCCGAAGAGAAAUCGUGAAACGUGCCGCCUGGGAAGUACGGUCGCAAGGCUGAAACUUAAAGGAAUUGGCGGGGGAGCACCACAACAGGUGGAGCCUGCGGUUUAAUCGGACUCAACGCCGGAAAUCUCACCGGAUAAGACAGCUGGAUGAUAGUCGGGCUGAAGACUCUACUUGACUAGCUGAGAGGAGGUGCAUGGCCG
RNAcentral lists this ribosomal RNA (676 nucleotides) under uncultured archaeon. Its description in RNAcentral is "bacterial SSU rRNA". It matches the Rfam family "Archaeal small subunit ribosomal RNA", at positions 320 to 1000 of the family's 1478-position model. The record is from RNAcentral.